Long non-coding RNA from Oxyura jamaicensis (ruddy duck), 544 nucleotides. RefSeq lists it as uncharacterized. The record is from RefSeq and is a predicted model, not a curated record. NCBI's taxonomy places the organism in Eukaryota, Metazoa, Chordata, Aves, Anseriformes, Anatidae. The transcript has 2 exons.
CCGCUAUGGCGCCUCCAACCGCCCGCCCCGCCCCGCCGGGCCGAGCAUAAAGCGGGCGGGCCGCGGCCACGGGCCCCGGCGGCACCUGGUGGAACAGCUCGAAGAUCAGCUCCUCGGUCACGCGGGGGUCCAGGGCCUGCUCCGGAGCCCAGCCGCGACCAGCGGGGUGAGGUAACUUCGUUGUGACUGCCGUGAGCUGUGCUGAAGCCCGGCCUCCAGGAUAAGCACGUUUGUUUUGUGUAAUAGUAAUAAAAAGGAAGCAAGCACAGCGCUGAGUGGAGUGUUGAGUGUUCCAUUGCUUCGUUCCCUGUUAUUGCUGCAAUACUCCGUCUGAUGGCCUCCACCAUCCCAAAUACUGCCUCCCGUAAUGGCGCAAACACAGGCAGGCUGCUUUGCAUUCCUCCUCUAAACAGCUGUAUUACACUUUAAUGUGAAGAUGGCGCUUCUGCUUUUAUGUUUGAGCAGAGUUCUGGACACCCAUCUCUCAGUUAAGGUACUUCUCCAGUGUUUUGCAAAAUUGCUCCCCUUUCCCAUGUUGUUUGAU